UCUGUUUGUGUAUUAAAAAUGUUAAUCUGCUAGAAUUUCCACAUAUGAAACAUCUUUCUUGUCAACCAAGAAGCAUAUCGGAUACCUCCAUGUCUGCAAGUCUCCUGUUUCUUAUAUAGUAUGUAUGGACUCAAUUGAUCCAUAGUUUUUCCUUGUUCUGACUCAAUAGCCACAACAAUUUGCAGAUUGCAGCUUGAUUCAAGACCUUCAAGUUAAUAUUCAAGCCUCCUGCACCUUUAGGAAGAGUCACCUUGUCCCAAGCUACAGGUGUCCUUUUAGUAAUAUUGGUCUGACCUGUCCAUAAAUAGUUCCUACAAGCAGCUUCGAUGAGUUUAAUAACCUUUUGUGGUAGUAAAAAUACUCAUGACCUGUAUGCUUGAACACCAAAUAGUAUUUCUAUAAUAACUUGAAGCCUCCCGGCAUAUGAUAAUUCUCUAGCCAUCCAGUUAGUGAUCUUUGUUGUAAUUUUGUCUACUAAAGGUUUGUAUUGCAAAACUGUUAUUCUUUUAGUAUACAAAGGAACUCCUAAGUAUUUAAAUGGUAAGUCACCUAUUUCAUAGUACAACAAACACAAUAUGUCAUUCCUUUCAUCCGUCCCUAACCACCCAAACAAACAUGGUUAUUUAAGUACUUCAUUCUCAUUCUUAUGAGUGAUUAACGCCUUGAGCUUUUGUGCUAUUUCCAGAAAUCUCCAAAAAUAUAAAUAUAAUGCUCGAAAUAAAGUACACGUUGAAGGAUCCAUAUGCAAUGCACAUAUAAUUGAGGAAGCUUCAUCAUUUGGUUCACACUACUUAGAGCGUCAUGUUUAUACAAGGCAUAAAAAAGUGCCACGGAAUGACGAUGGUGGUAUAGGUGAACAAGAUGGAUACGAGGGUAAUCUUUCUAUAUUCACCUAUCCAGUUCGAGGAUUUGGGGAACUAAAUUGGAGAUAUCUAACCAAAGAAGAACUUAAUGCAGCUCAUAUUUAUAUUUUAGUAAAUUGAAGAGAAGUGCAGCAUAUGUGAAAUUCACAUGUAACUUUGAAAUUGUAAAAAUAGCGCCAAGGGGGUGGACCAAGCAGAUAUUCAGGAAAAAGAAAAGUAGAUCCAGUGACAUCUCUUCCAGUGUCAAGUUUGGCACCUAAUCAAGCACCAUCAUUGCCUGAAUGCCAAUACCAGUGACACCAGAUUCAGUCGCAGUCAAUAUAUCACUACCUUCUUUAUUUGUGGGGAUUGAAACACCAAGAAAUGACAUUGUAUCAACAACUUCGUCAAAUACAACUGAUGGUACCCCCAUGUCAAUUGAAAUCGUCCUGGGACAUUAAGUGUUUAGCAUCGUUUCAUUUACAUUGUUUAACUUUAGGCAUGUAAGUAAGCUAUGCUGGUUUUCUUUCCAUACUUUUUUUUCUAUAAACCUUUCAAAAGUUAUGUUGGUUUUCUUAAGUUGCAUUGAUGGGGAAUUAAUUACAGAAUUGAGGUGUGGCAUUUCUUUGAUUUGAA
Molecule: long non-coding RNA, 1478 nt
Organism: Solanum dulcamara
Lineage: Eukaryota; Viridiplantae; Streptophyta; Magnoliopsida; Solanales; Solanaceae
Exons: 2
Source: RefSeq, a predicted model, not a curated record